This 460-nucleotide ribosomal RNA is filed under the name uncultured bacterium. Its description in RNAcentral is "partial 16S ribosomal RNA". It matches the Rfam family "Bacterial small subunit ribosomal RNA", at positions 338 to 795 of the family's 1533-position model. The record is from RNAcentral.
CCUACGGGAGGCAGCAGUGAGGAAUAUUGGUAAAUGGCCGGAAGGCUGAACCAGCCAAGCCGCGUGAAGGACGAAGGUGCCAAGCAUUGUAAACUUCUUUUGUAAAGGGACAAAAUCAGGCACGAGAGCCUGACCGAGGGUACUUGAAGAAAAAGCAUCGGCUAACUCCGUGCCAGCAGCCGCGGUAAUACGGAGGAUGCGAGCGUUAUCCGGAUUUAUUGGGUUUAAAGGGUGCGUAGACGGGCUGUUAAGUCAGCGGUGAAAGGCCGGGGCUCAACCCCAGACUGGCCUUUGAAACUGGCUGUCUUGAGAUCUGUAGAGGUAGGCGGAAUGCGCGGUGUAGCGGUGAAAUGCUUAGAUAUCGCGCAGAACUCCGAUUGCGAAGGCAGCUUACUGGCCGGGCACUGACGUUGAUGCUCGAAAGUGUGGGUAUCGAACAGGAUUAGAUACCCGAGUAGUC